Molecule: long non-coding RNA, 393 nt
Organism: Schistocerca serialis cubense
Lineage: Eukaryota; Metazoa; Arthropoda; Insecta; Orthoptera; Acrididae
Exons: 3
Source: RefSeq, a predicted model, not a curated record
CCGGUAAUCACCAUUGUUAGUGUGCAGGGCGAACACAUACUCCGAGAUUUAAACGUUUUUUGACGUGAUAGUAACGUUUUUGACUGACAGACCCAACACUGCUUUAUUGCUACAGCUAUGGGUAAAAAGAGUAAAUUCACUCUUCACCUUAUGAAACAAUCCGACAACGGAUCAUAUUGUAUAAAAUCACCAGAAGAAGGUUAUAGUCACGUUUCUCCUUGUCCUGCACCAAAAGAAAGGGUAGACCUACAAAAUGAAGAUAAUGCGGAAAAAGAAGCCAAUACAGGGGCGAAUUCCACUUCUGAGUUUGAAAGUCUUUUCGAACACAGCAGCGAGGAUGAUAUCUCCAGUGGCAGUAGUGAUGCGUACAAUCCAGAUAAAAACGAAAAUAAC